CCCAAACUUAUCCUUUCGGCUUUCAGGCCCAGUUCAAAUCUCGUCCAAAAAAAUGAAGGCCAUCCUUAUUCAAAUCGAUUAUUAUUCAAGAUUCUCCGUACUACUUCCACAUCGAAGAUCUUACUUAUGACGAUGUCGACGGUGCUGAAAGGUAAUCGACCUCCUUCAUUUCGACUUUGUGCUGCUGGCGAGGAAGUAGCGGUAGCACCGGGUUGCGACUGAUGACGACGGUUCGUUGGAAUCACUCCGUCGUGAUGGUUCUAAUGCGGAGAACUUUACCUUUAGUCUAUGGCUUUACUGUUCUUCCUUCGCCUUCUGGUCAUUUUGUCCGCCUUUAACUUGCCGCUUUUCAUCAUCCGGUCUAUGUGAUGUUGGACAGGAUUUCGUCCAUCAGCUGCAUCGACUCCGUUAAGGCUCAAGCAUCCGCCAUCAUUUUUCGGAAAACGAAAAGCAGUUUUUUUACUGUAAAUCAAAACAAUGGCCAUGAAAAUAUAUUCACUGUAUUCCAUUCCUCAUGUGGAAUGCAGUGAAUACAUUUUCAUGGCAAAAUCUAUUGUUUUGAACGAGAAAACUGCUUUUAAAUUCUUGAUGAUGGCAAUGAUUUCAAUGACGAAUGCUCCAACGUUAAACGCGGCGGUUCGAAGCUCCGGAGAAAACGUACCUGGUUGUCCGAUGUUGCUGGUUCUGCUCCGCACUGUGACGAUGGUGACGAUAAGCAUUGCCUGAAAAUGUAAAUAUAAACAUCGGCAAAACAAUGAUGCCAGUAAAAUAAAAAAUGAUAAUGGUGGUGCAUAUGAAAGGUGUCGAAAAGGUGUCGAAAGGUGUUUUAGGUGUGUGAAAUGGGUGUUUCACACAAGGUGUCAGAGUUUCCAACCCCUUGUGUAAAUCUUUUUGCCAACAUUGCGACGUCUCUCCAGAUUCUUCAGAUUCGAGGGAUGACUUAAAGAGAAUCUCCUCAUUACAACUUAAAAAGGGAAGCAAUACAAAACACUUUUGGUUCAAUGGCCAAAUCUGUCCGGACUUCAUGAGGACAUAUGCAGGUGCAUUGGCCGGUAUGGAAAAAGAAAGAUUACUUCCAAACACAUCAUGAGGUCCGACCUAGGGUCCGACCAGCAACUAAAUCAAAUGACGUCUACGAUGCAGCAAAACACAACAGCUGCUUUGAUUAUCUUUGUUAUAAUCGUUCGAUUUCCCUGCGCAAGAAGGCGCUGUUGUCGAAUAAAUGUGUUCGCCGAUGAACUGUAUGGGAAAAGCAAAAGUGGGUUAUCUUGUACUUAAAAAUCUUUGUUUGGAGUUACUCGAUUUUAGCAGUGCCACUACCGAAACAAUUCAAGCAUGGAACGAAAAAAGAGAACGGAUGUCCCGGAAGCAAGCGAAGAAGAUUGAACGGUUACUUAGUAAGCAUAAAUAGUCUCCACAUUCUGUAUCUGUUUUGACUCACCAUUACCCUCUGGAGACGAACCAGCCUUGGGCUGAAAGUCUCGAUAAUAAAGACAUAAAAUAAAAACUCUCUUUCUGUUUUCAUGCUAUCUGGUGCUUCACCUGGGUUGACGAAACACUUCUCUUCAACCCAGGCUAAACGGCAGAUAGGAUGAAAACAGAAACAGAGUGAGAGAGAUGCGGAUAAAAGAUGCAUAAAUAAUAGUAAUUCCGUGUAUACUUUUAUUUCUGAGUGUGAGAGGAAAUUUCACUGGAAAAAGUCAAAGUAACCGUGCGAAAAUUAUUUUUUCAAUGGAUUUAUUAUCAAUUUUGAUAAAAAUCAAAGUCCGAUCGCAGCUCACUUUGGAAGCUGCGCACUUAUAUGCACUUUGACGAUAAAGUACCCAAAUGUAAGUAAAAGAAUGUCGAAAUGUUUUACACAUAAAAACGAGAAAAUUUAAGCGCAUAUACAUCGUCGAGAUACUUUUUUAUUUCAAUUCAUAACAGUAAUGUUCAUAAUAAAUAAAAAUAAAGCAGUAGAGUGCAAUUUGUGCAAAUAAAAUUUCUAAAUUCCUCGUUGCACAAUAUUUUCGUGAAAAUUGCCCUUUUUAGAUUGGUGUGUAAGUCGUCCCGUUGAUCUGUUUGUUUACGGUUUGAAGACGUCGCCGAUUUUAUGAAUGAAAUUUGACAGGAAGUUGUUACGUUUAAGUCUGUUCCAAGGUUUCGAGUACAUUUGUAAACUAAAUUAAUGCUAGAACGAAGUAGAUUAGAGAACCCAUUGCUCCGCACGCCACAUUUUGAACACCCCUGCGAAAGCGAUUUCAUCUCAACCCAACCACCGAAACGGCAAUCAUCACGUUACACAGUGGGCUGCCAUCAGUGUCGCAAACAGUCAUUGAGAGAGCGUGAGAAUGGUAUGGAGUCAACCCGCACUCGAUAAUAUGCACAAGCGAUCGCCGCAACAGACUCGACGACGACGACGACGACGUUGGUGUCCGUCCACACGAAAGAACAGGGAGCAUAAUCGUGUGAGAAGUUCGGCAGCAGAGAAACGCUUACGCUUAGCCUCGGCAGCAAACACGACGGAGCGAGCAAGAUAAAAAGCAUUGCUUCUCUUCACGCCGCUCUGAGUAAUUCGCACCAAUACUUUCGCGGACGGCAGUCAGAGGUGGGAACAGAGAAGUCAAGUCGAUGACGAGGAUCAGUUCCAUCUAGUGAGCAGGCCACAUCACACGGUAGAUCCACGUCGGCCGAGAACAAAAACCGUCUCCACCACAGUUUGCAGGAGGAAAAGCGCGUGGGUUUGGUGGAUCUACGAAAACUGAUAUUCUGGUCCCAAGUGAGUGUUAAUUUGAACCGUUAAACCCGUGUGGAAGUGAGCAAUUACGUCGUGGUCUGUGGACGGUCGUUGGUCCUCGCGAACAUCCAUAUUGGAUUGGCACAGUUGGGUGCUCGUCCGAUCCAGAGUGAAGCCUCUGAUCCGCCAUCUUAAAACAUCGAUUGGGGGAAUUUCCCACGUGUUUGAAAGCAAGUUUUUCCCACCUUUUGACGAGCGAUCCGGACAGAGCACUGACGUCCGUGCCAGCAGACUAGUGCUACAGUGUGGUCUCACAAGAUUGGGACAGUGACAGGAGAACACCGAGAUUGAUCAGCAGGAAACCAACUGGUAAGAAAACCAGACACAGCCUUGGGCAACAGCACUGAUUGUUCUCGCUUCCACAGUUUGUACAGUGUCACCUCAUCGCAUUCGUACAGCGAAAGAGCAAGACCGCUCACGGAGUUCCUUGGGCCGUCGCAAACGCGAACAUAAACCGGUAAGAACACCACAGAUCUCCUCAGCCGCUGUUUCUAAAUGUACGCCGAUUAUUUCGCAGUACUCUCGCUGGGUUCGACGGAAGGAAGAGCAAUUACCUCUGGACACCCCUCUAAGAGAUUCGAGGCCGCCAGCCGAAAGGCAUAAACAAAGCCUUCCACAGGAAGUAAGUGGAUUGACCUGAUGCGAAGCCGGUCUAGAAGCUAACGUUGCGGCGCCUUAGGGCUUUGUUUUUUUAUUCGCAGCUCAUCCAUCAACGGUUGGAGGCAACAGAUACUCAGAGGAAGCGAUUGCCCAGUAGCGACGAUUGGUCAGCAGCGAGCGGAAUCGGGACGAGUGGGCACACGGUUCGCGGGUGUCGGCCGUACCAACGGAUACCACCGAACCACACUCCACCAGGAGAGCCGCCGGGGGAGUUAGACCCUGGCAAAGGCGGAUCGAAACGGAUCCGAGGACACCGGCGCGACGCUGGCACGGCGGGGUUUGAACCAUGCGCAGGAGGGUGACGCCGGCGAUGAUGGCUGCGGGCGGAGCAGCAAUGUGGUAGGGGCGCCCCAAGAGUGAGUACAGAGAAAAUGUAUAAUUAGAAUGUAAGAGGAAUAGCUAGAGAAAAGAAAGGAUAAGCAAGGAAGGAUAGGAAGAGGAGGCAGGAUGAUUAGGAGGAGGAAUCCAGAAUAAAUGUAAUUUCUGAAAAUUCUUUGCUUUGUGGAUUUUGAUUUCAGUUUUGUGGCUUUUCCCUGAGCUCUUCGGGACUGCUGAGGGCUUCCAUUCCCCCCUUAGCAGGAACCUUGCAACAAAGUAGCGUCCAAUAACCCGUGAAAAUCAAUAUCAUCAUCAACAUUGUUGUCAAUUCGUAAAAUGGCACCUUAUUUAACCUCACUUUUUUGCGAGGGGAAUGGCAGAUCCGGAUUUUUUGUGAAUUUCGCUACUUUUCCUCCAAACUCCCAAAUGAUAGCUUCUAAUAUCGUUUUCGUUUUUGCGGCGGUGCUACACCGCUUCGUGCUACACUUUUCGCUGAAUAAACGAACAUUUUCGGUGCAGUUGCAUUGGUGUGCGUGUAUAAACAUCAAAAUAUUGACAACUUCGCAAACGCUGAUUGGUGGACACGGUGUGCACCUGCUACACUCCCGAUUUUUUGAGUGCUACACUAUCAUGCGCGGUGCAGAAAAAGUGCUGCACCGGUGUAGCACGAAAAUCAAAAACGAACAUUUUCGGUGCAAAAGUGCUACACCGGUGUAGCUCCACCGCAAAAACGAAAACGACAUAAGAAAUUAUUUUUUUCAUAUCCUUCCCAAGGGGUUGGAAACUCUGCCCGAAUAAAAAAUACAGUAGAAAAACCGAACGUUGUAUUGUAACAGUACUAUUUAAAACCAUAUUUUUACAAUAGAAACCACUGUAAAAAUAAAAAUAUAAAAACAAUAAAAUGUAAUGUAGAACACCAUACAGUAAAUUGUAAAUAAGAUUUUUACAAUAUACUAUACGGGUUGUUAAGUAUCGUAACAAUAUAAAAAAAUAUUUUUCUCCAUAUAUAUUUUUUUGCAAAACCAUACAUUGUAUUGUAAAUGAAUUGUUAUAAAUACUGAUACGUGGGUUUUAAUAAACCGUACAUUGUAUGGUACACAUAUGGUUUCAAACAACAAAAUGUACCGUAAAUAUAUUGUUUUUAAUUGUAGUUUCACCACUGGUUAUACAUUUAAUUAAAUGGUUUUGGAAUGGUUCUCUUUUGUUAUGUUGUAUUGGUUUACAUUACAUAAACCAUGUAAUGUUAUAUUAUCUUGUCAUUUUCCUCCUGUUAAUGGCAUCUUAGGCUUACUAGCAUUAUGAGAAUGCGCUUUGGGAAUUCUCCAGAGCGUUUUGAAUAACCUUUCAUAUAUUGGAUCGCCCACGUCUAAGUCUGAGUCGAGGUCUGAGUAAUCUCUGAUUGCAUUAACAGUUGAAGCUUAGGCUCCCAUGCCCCACCAGCCAGAUAACCGGGUUCCACAAACUAAGCAUUAUUUGUGGCAACACUUUGAGCGGCAUGAUGGAACUAUGCCGAGCGCGCUGAGCAUUAUUAGACCACUAAUGUAGUUGCAUGAAGUGGGUGACGAGGUACAUAAGUAUCAUUACAGCGUGCUUAACCGUUAUUGCAAUAUUGAGGCUCCAGUUUGACUAAAGUUUGAAAUACACUUACAUAUGUAUUUAACAACUCAUUAGAAAACUGUCAAGUUCGAUUCAAGUAUAAGUUAGGUUAAGAAGCGAACCCACAGACGAACCUAUAUUAGAAUUUCUUUCAGUAUUCAGUCCAGUCCAUAUGUUAAAGAUGGCUCUACGUCAAAGAUAAAGUUCGUCAAUCGUAUUCCUCUCAUCGCACUCUACAUACCUAGCCCGCCAUAUCUCUUGGAUCUGCGAUUCUUAAGACAUCUGGUUUACUACUUAUUCAAACAUUUUAUUGACUUUAAAUUGAUGUUUCAACUUAUUCACUUUUUUCUUUCCUUUCCUUUGCAUCAUAAAAGUCACAAAGAUCAACAAAACAAAGCACGGAAAAAAUCUAAAACUGAAUAAAUAAUUAAAAAUGCACGGAAAAAUAAUGUUUCGGGAAAGUGAAUGGUUCAAACGUAAGAAAAACAGUAUAAUAUAGUGUUACAUAAAAAUCGAAUGUAAAUGUAUAGUAGCUACAAUGUGCGAAGCUUUUAGUGAACCAUUUCAUUACAAUAUACAUUAUUGUAGCUGGUACACUGUAUGGUGCAGGAAUGGUUUUCACCAAACACCCUAUGGUUAGUUUUUAUCCGGGUGGCACCUUGAAUUGUGUCGAAAGGUGUUUCUUGGGUGUUUUUGGGUGUUUCUGUGUGCUUGACAGCAACUUUGACGUAUCUCCGCAAGACGUCAAAUUUGUUCAUCUUUUCCAAUAGGAUACUGCAAGAUGACGUCACGAAGCCGUGCACUGACAGUUCAGCGAGCUUGUUUACAUGGACUUAGUCUCUGGCGGAGAUCCGGCAAAAAUGUUUUUCGAUACAAUUUCAGUAAAACGGUAAUUAGACGAUUGGUUUUGUACUAGUAGAGUUGAAUAUAAUCGAUGUUUCUGUAUCAUAAUGGUUUCGGGAUUGCAAACGUAAAUUUAAUUUUCGCCGCUCGUUAAAAAUUCUAACACCUUGUAAACAAGCUCGCUAAACUGUCAGCAAAGUGAGGUUAGAUCAGGUGCUUGCAGUACCCUAUAGUUCAGGCAACACUUCUGGAUUAUUUUGUUGUUUCUUGAGUGAGAUUAAUACAAAAUUAUUUUAGAGCUUCUUAAAUUGGAAAUUAUUGCGGGACAAGCGACCAUACACGUUCGACUCCCUGUUAUGCUCCUACUACGUGAAUUCCUCCGCUACCUAUUUCAGACAAAUGAGAUGGAACUGAUCUUUUUCCGGGUUGUGAGCGAAAAUGUUAGGCGAAGGAUUGCACAGUGGCAUGACAAUUACAUAAGAACAGAAGACUCAGAUCGGUACCAGCGUCGGUAUGGUCGGAAGGAGUUCAAUAUUCGUUGAUCACAGCGACGUAUUUCGGAGGCGAUCGUAACGUAAUAUAAAAUCUACGGUGACUGGAAGUGGCGGAAGUGGUAACGGUGAAGCAACACACUAAGAUACUAAACAAAAUCCUGAAACGCAAUGAGGCAGGUACGGCGUCCGACUUCCACCUGAACAAACCACGAAGUAUAGUCAAUACUUCCGGAGAACCGUCGCGAGACUUGCCUGGUAAGGAUAGCUCUAGAUAGAAAGUGCUACUACGACACGUCCGAUUGGAUCCAGCAAGUACAAUUUACGACAGACAAACAUCAGAAGCUUGACC
Aedes albopictus (Asian tiger mosquito) is the source of this 7036-nucleotide long non-coding RNA. RefSeq lists it as uncharacterized. The transcript is spliced from 3 exons. NCBI's taxonomy places the organism in Eukaryota, Metazoa, Arthropoda, Insecta, Diptera, Culicidae. The record is from RefSeq and is a predicted model, not a curated record.